AUCCUCUUCCUCAUCACCAAAGAAGAAAGUCUCUUGGUCCAGGUUCUCAGACUCAUCGUAGGAGAAGCUGUCAUUGUCCAGCUCCUCAUCAAACUCAUCCUGCUGCCACUCGGGCACAUCAUCCUCAUCGUCUUCCUCCUCCUCUUCUGCCUCUGGCCCUGAGGAGGCCUGGGGCCUAGGGAGAGCCACCACACUCAGCCCAGAGGAGGCUGCCAUGUCCCACUGCCUCCUCCAUGGCUCUGCCCACCCCACUUACUGACUGCCAGGCAUGUUGGGUCCUUUUGCCUCCCAGGCCUCUACUGAUGGACUCUGAAGACCAACCCGGAAAUCCUGGUGAGCAGACAGAAGGAUUUGAGAAGGAGGUAGAGGGCAUGGGGCCUUUGGACCCAGCAUUCCUUCCACUGAUGCUCUGGGAGGGCCAAGCUCCUGCUAGGACUGCUCCCCUCCCAGCACAGCACUUCAUGAAACACUGCCUUUGUGAGUUCACCCACAGAUGGUCUCCAGGGAUACGGGGUACCAGGUGAGGCACACGACCCUGUGCUUAAAGAGCUUACAGAAUCUAUGUCUUUUCUGCCCAUGUGACUUACCAGUCAGUAAGCAACCUGAGGACAGGACUCACAGUUUAGACUCAGCAUCAGUGCAUUAGAGCUGGAGAGAGCCUGGGAGAGCCCUUGCUCCAGUGACCCCAAUCCCCUGAUGCCCACUCUUAGGAUUUCAAAUCCCUAUCUGGGAAGUACAGUCUGGAAAAGUUCCCCAAGUGAUUCUGAUAGGCACCUGACCAAAUACCCUUGAUGUGGGCUAGCCAACCCCUUUAUUUUGUAGGAAUCCCCAGGAGGUGAAGUGAUAGGGUCCAGCAGCAUCAGGCAGGUUGGCCCAAAAGCCGGGAUGUGCGCCCAGGUCUAACAUCCAUUCACCCGCUUUGCUGCCUUUCCUUCUGGACUCGCCCCAGGGCAGGGGCUGUGCUGGGACAGGAGGACCUCAACUCCCGCAGAAUGCAGGAGCAGAAGGGGUCUGGGCCGGGCAGUACCUGGGCAGAAUGCUGCAGGAUGGCAAGCAGCCUCUCCUGGAUCCGCCGGAGCAGCUCCAUGCCCGUGCUGAGGCAGUCGGCCCGCAGGAGGCGCAGGGAGGAGGCCAGGUCUCUGCACCGCAGCAGGGUUUCCUCUGCAGAGGGGGCAGGCACAGAGGCUCCCUCCCUUCUCAUUCUCAUCCAUUCCUUCCUCCAACAAACACCUAUGGAACGUCUACCAAGCACCAGGUGCAGCUCUAGACAUUCUCAUGAAGCUCCCUAGGGGAGCAGGGUAAAGACCAGAAACCAAGAAACAUCCACGAACAUCUGCGCCCUUGGGCACCUUACAAUGUAGGCUUUCGACCUGAGCUUUAACAGCCAGGCAGUGAGAAGGCCAUGAAGAAUGAAGAGGAAGAGGAGAGAGGGAAGACAAACCAGCUGAUCAAUGUGGAGGCCCUUUUCCCCAUGGGCUUUGAGAAUACGAACAAGAAGACAGCUCAAGAGAUUCCUCUUCUGUUCCAGGGUUCGGCCUUCAUCC
This 1544-nucleotide long non-coding RNA is filed under the name Homo sapiens (human). RNAcentral describes it as "non-protein coding lnc-DNPH1-1:1". The record is from RNAcentral. Lineage: Eukaryota; Metazoa; Chordata; Mammalia; Primates; Hominidae.